Molecule: long non-coding RNA, 987 nt
Organism: Andrographis paniculata
Lineage: Eukaryota; Viridiplantae; Streptophyta; Magnoliopsida; Lamiales; Acanthaceae
Exons: 3
Source: RefSeq, a predicted model, not a curated record
UUCUCUCCAUCUCUUGUUCGUCUUGGUGCUUUUAACGAUUGAGGUGCUUUUCCUUGUUUACUUCAACCAUGUCUAUUGUUUGAAGAGUCUUUUGUGUGUUCCUUGAAGUGUGUUUUGUGAAGUUUUAUUGGUGUUAUUUAGGCAAACUUGAUGACCGGUAUUGGUCCGGGUUUAAGCUGAUUUCAUAGCUGGUGCGUUGAGUUCAUUUGGGUAUCUAUUGGUGCCGUAGCUGGCGCUUCCUUUUCUUGGUCUCGACUACCAAUUAAUAGUGGUGAAGAUUAAAAAGCAGUAUAGUUGCAUAUUGAUCUGAUUCCAGUCCAUAAAUACCAAAUCCUACAGUCUAUAAGCACAAGAUCCUCAGUCCCUAAAUACCAAAUACCUUCAAGGGAUUUCCACAUCAUCAAAAAAAGCUUCCAAAAUCUGCACUGGAACAAUCUAGGCAACAAUCUGAAAAAUUCAAGAGUCACUCCGAGGCUUGGGGAAGGUUGCAACAAGAUUGGAAAAAAGGGAAUUCUCAGCUAGGAACCACAUAAUUCGGUUGAAUCUCGCUUUCUGAUCUUCUAUUCCUUCGACAUGCUUCGAACUCAGACCUUGUGUGUUCAUGGAAGGGCCAGCGGCGUAUUGAAAGGACUCCAUCUGUGUAAAUGCUUCCAAGGGGAUCCACCAUUGAAAACUCAAAAUCAAGAGACUGAUUGGCCUGAAUUCCCUACCCUACCCUACCUUACCCUGGGGGGAAGACGUCCUCCUCCUGUCGAUCGACUGCCUGAGUACUCCUUGAUUCAAAGGGUAAUUAUUUGCAAUUAUAGGUGGUGACUGAGUUGGACAGAACCCGGAUAAUCUCAGUGGGUGCUCGAAGUUAUGAAUGUAGUUUAGAGGUUUUCCAACCAAUGACAGAAAUCUGUUUUAGGGUUUGGUUUUUAUUUUAUAGACGAUUGAUGUUGUAUAAAUAAGUCUUACUAUGAUACUUAAAAUACAAAUAAGAAUUUG